AUUAUCCUGUGUGUGUGUGCUGUGGCAAAGCAGUGACUGUUUAUCUCGUGGGCCACUGUUAAUGCAAGGAGAAGGGGAAGAAGGAGAGGAAAGAGCUCUGCAUGCAAAAUGUCUCCUGAACAAGACCAGGAACCUCCUGCUUGGAACAGAAGCCUCCUCUGACCCAGCUGCAUGCUGCUGCCAUUGGAAUGAUGUGGGAUACCGAGUGCUGUAUACAUUUCUGCCUAGAAAAGCUGGUAUUUCUUCCUUCCUGAAGACACAGAAACUUCUGUUUUUGGCAUGCUGUUUCUCUGUGGGUCUUCAGAUCAAAACAAGAGACCUGGUCAAAAAGAAAAAAAGAAGAAAACAGAAAAAAAACCCAACGUCAAAUAAAGUGACACUGUGUUGCUGGCUAGAAUCCUUAAUCUCUCCUGAUAGCACAGGAAGGCUUGUAGACUUCCACAGCAAAGGACUCAGGUUGGUAUUUAAAUUUAUUUGA
Molecule: long non-coding RNA, 478 nt
Filed under: Meleagris gallopavo (turkey)
Lineage: Eukaryota; Metazoa; Chordata; Aves; Galliformes; Phasianidae
Description: lncRNA (ENSMGAG00000022312.1)
Source: RNAcentral